UACGAAGGGGGCUAGCGUUGCUCGGAAUCACUGGGCGUAAAGCGCACGUAGGCGGAUUUCUAAGUCGGGGGUGAAAUCCUGGAGCUCAACUCCAGAACUGCCUUCGAUACUGGAAAUCUCGAGUCCGGGAGAGGUGAGUGGAACUCCGAGUGUAGAGGUGAAAUUCGUAGAUAUUCGGAAGAACACCAGUGGCGAAGGCGGCUCACUGGCCCGGUACUGACGCUGAGGUGCGAAAGCGUGGGGAGCAAACAGG
This 253-nucleotide ribosomal RNA is filed under the name uncultured bacterium. RNAcentral describes it as "partial 16S ribosomal RNA". It matches the Rfam family "Bacterial small subunit ribosomal RNA", at positions 524 to 776 of the family's 1533-position model. The record is from RNAcentral.